GGAAAAUAUUGUGCGUCUAUUAUUUCCUUCUAAAACGAAAGCAACUUUCCGGACGACCUAAUAUUAUGUUACGUUAUCGUGCAACAAGUUCGUGCCACUUGUUCCUCCGUUUGGUACAAGCUUUCCAUUCCGCUGUGAUUCCCAUUCUGUUUAAAUACCAAAGAACAAGUGUUUCAUUUGGGAAUAUCAAAGAUGACAAACAAAAUCUUGCAAAUAUUCAACCAACGAGCCUUAUCUUUCGUCGAACGUAAAACGGGCCACGUCUUGAUCUUCUCCAGCUUCGCUUGAUGACCCCAUUUCCAAUUUCUUUUCGAACAUGUCCCUGUGCAGGCGGAAGAAAUCAGGCGCAAAGCCAUUUUUGCAUAUAAUUGCCAAGUCGGGAAAAAUAAACCACGUACUUGAGACGUGGAAAUGCGGAUAAUAUGCGAAAAAACGAAUCGCCACGGAAGACUCUGGAGACGAGAAAAUUCCUUCGUUCUUGCCUCCGCUUAAUUAGCGGUAUUUCCAUGUUAAAUACUAAUUUGCCGACUGCUACACUCGACGACAAACGACCCUCGUCGUCGCUUGUAUUUAUUUACGCACUGCAUGAGACAUUUCUACAAGUCUUUUAUCUCCCAAAAUUUCUCAGUUAGCUGGACAUUCAACGAUCCUUAUUCAACGAUGAUCCUGUCACUGCCAGGCGAAGGUCAUCGAAAAUAUGAAUUUGCACCAACACCGGUAGCAUAAUCGUUCGCCUGUAGCCGAUCGAAGCUAAUAACAGAGCCGAUGUGCGAUCGAUGACGACGUUAAAUCACGGCAGUGUCCCAUGCGAAUCGAAUUCGAUACGAAGCCUCGCACGGCCGUCCAUCUUGGCGAAGGGAACGGGGACAUAAUCGCGUUUCAUUUGCCGCGUGGGAUCUUAGAAGAGGCACUGGGGCUAUCUAUUUCUGGCGGACUAUCGGUUAUCUUGUAUCGGAGAUAGCCGCGCGGGGAAUGCAUCGCGGCAGUGUGCACGCCAACGAUUUAAGGGCUGCGGAUGUGCAAGGAGCUAUGAAUUAGGUCGCCAAAGCCAUGCGGAACCCGCGUUAAUGUUCCCGGUAACGGCACUCUGGUUAAUUUCCCCCAACGCUCCACGUCCUGCUCGAUCGUCUGCCUAUUUGUCCGUGAUCGGUGCCGGUCAAUGCGAUGUUAAUGGGAUUCUUCAAGGCGACUAUGAAGAGCCUGACAGCUUGGACUACAGCUCGUUGGGAACGUCUUGCGGUUUAGCUCGGGAAAAUUUAGUAAAACGAAGGCGUAAAGUCUCGUUUACGUUGGCGAACGAUCAUGUGGGUCGUUAGGAGGAAGAAAGAAGAAGCUGGUUGAUGUAAGAAACGAGCGUUAGCUGGUUGUUCGGCGAGUUGAAAAAUCGCAGGUAAAAAUCCACGCAAAACUUUGCACGGCCUUCGAUGUAAAAACCUGGGAAUUAACGAGCUGUUGGUUUAACAAAUUGAAACGUUUAGUUAUAGCCACAUUGUGUUUCACGAGGUUCUCAAAUGCGAAAAAGUAGACAAAUUUUGGAGCCACGCGCGUAUGAUAAAGACACUGAAGGGAAGAAUAUAAUUACUAUAAUAUAGAAUAUAAUUAAUAUAUUAUAAUAAAUAUGGGAAAUUGAAGAAGGCUCACGUAACGGGAAUUUACGUCUCCCGUUGACGUGCUUGCUCGCGAUCGCGUCUCUCUGCGAAUGGUCGAUAAAACACGGUUAACCGGUUAAAAGGAAACGAAAGUCGUUGAAAGGCGAAUGACAGCGAAACGAGCAUCGAAACGAAUGGAAAUAAAAACUAGGCCGAGUAAAUGAAUCCUGUCCAACUCGGCCGAUGAUUGUUGACGCGAAUAGAAUCGAUUCGACGAUGGCGAAUACGCGGCGGUGUUAAAUCGACAAACCGGUAUUAGGCUCGCCUCUCCUCUACCGCCAUGUUAACGCGUAAAUAAUUGCAUUAGCGACCCUAUAGCGCGUAAUACGCGAUGAAUGUCGCUGUAUACCCAGAACACACUAACGAUAUUGCUCUCACGUCCGUUCGUCGAUGUAUUUGCUUCGGGACACCGAUGGUGAACAACGAAAUCGACCCGAGUCCGCUGUGUUUCCGCUUUUAACGAGGUUAAUACGAGGCCUCGUGCAGAUCGUUUAGAGUGUCCAUCAUCCACACACGGGAAAAGUUGAUUCUUUCACAGCCGUCGCACGCUUGCAGACACAGCGUGAAUCUCGUGUACAGUAGUCUUGUACAUGGAAUCGAACGGAUGUUAGAUCUGAGAUGGAUAGGUCGUGACAGGAAUCGUGAAAAACAGGACUAUGGGUGCUGGGAUUCGAACCUGGGUCUGGAGCGUUCGUGGCCAAUUACGCUAACCACAGCGCUGCCAUCGUCCGGCUGAGGAUAGGGUCCUUGUGUAGCAACUCAUGGAACAGGAUCCGUUGGAAAGUUUGCUGUCGAGUGCCGCUACAGAUCAAAUGGCAAGAUCGUUUAGAGUGUCCAUCAUCCGCACACGAGAAAAGUUGAUUCUUUCACAGCCGUUGCAGGCUUGCAGACGCAGCGUGAAUCUCGUGUACAGUAGUCUUGUACAUUGAAUCGAACGGAUGCUAGAUCUGAGAUGGAUAGGUCGUGACAGGAAUCGUGAAAAACAGGACUAUGGGUGCUGGGAUUCGAACCUGGGUCUGGAGCGUUCGUGGCCAAUUACGCUAACCACAGCGCUGCCAUCGUCCGGCUGAGGAUAGGGUCCUUGUGUAGCAACUCAUGGAACAGGAUCCGUUGGAAAGUUUGCUGUCGAGUGCCGCUACAGAUCAAAUGGCAAGAUCGUUUAGAGUGUCCAUCAUCCGCACACGGGAAAAGUUGAUUCUUUCACAGCCGUUGCAGGCUUGCAGACGCAGCGUGAAUCUCGUGUACAGUAGUCUUGUACAUUGAAUCGAACGGAUGCUAGAUCUGAGGUGGAUAGGUCGUGACAGGAAUCGUGAAAAAUAGGACUAUGGGUGCUGGGAUUCGAACCUGGGUCUGGAGAGUUCGUGGCCAAUUACGCUAACCACGGCGCUGCCAUCGCCCGGCUGAGGAUAGCGUCCUUGUGUAGCAACUCAUGGAACAGGAUCCGUUGGAAAGUUUGCUGUCGAGUGCCGCUACAGAUCAAAUGGCAAGAUCGUUUAGAGUGUCCAUCAUCCGCACACGAGAAAAGUUGAUUCUUUCACAGCCGUUGCAGGCUUGCAGACGCAGCGUGAAUCUCGUGUACAGUAGUCUUGUACAUUGAAUCGAACGGAUGCUAGAUCUGAGGUGGAUAGGUCGUGACAGGAAUCGUGAAAAAUAGGACUAUGGUUGCCAGGAUUCGAACCUGGGUCUGGAGCGUUCGUAGCCAAUUACGCUAACCACGGCGCUGUCAUCGUCCGGCUGAGGAUAGGGUCCUUGUGUGGCAAGUCACGGAACAGGACACACACGUGGGCAAUUCUAAUCUUCCGAUGUUUCGUACAUUAGAAGCUGAGUGUAAAUGAAGCUCGCAGGAAGAACGUGGCGAGUACGUCGACUAUUUUAUCUUCCUGUCGAUCUACGGUAUAUUUUUAUAUAAAUUGUAUAAAUUCAUGACGUAUGAAUUUAUGGCAUUGGAUAUGUAGCAGACAUGUUUAAAUCACAAAUUGAGCUGCGAAGAGGAAGGUGCACAAGUACAAGGAACAAGUAGCAGUGGUCAAUGUACGAUCAGACGUGUGCGUGGAACGAGGCUGCUGAAAAUCCAAAAUAUUACCACGUUUCUCAACAUAUUUGGCGAAUUUGUCUUCGCAAACUAUUAUUAAAAACGUAUCUUGUUAACAAUUUGAAGACGUUUAUGCAAAUUCGCAUUGUUAUUAACGCGACUGAGGACCCAGAACCGAGACAGACGUUGUUUCACCCUGCAAAUAUCUUACACUGAAUAUCUUCUACAUCCGUGAAAUUUUUCCGACACAUUUACGUUUCUUACAAGUGUAAUGAGAUUCGAUGGGAGUAACUUGAUGCGAGCAAAGGGCACAAAGAACAGAAUCUUCCCGCUAAAAGAAAAUUUAUUGCGACCAGGUGUCCUCAUACGUUUGAUUAAAAAUAGCAAUCCUUCUUUGACAGGGGACGACUGGGAAGAAAUUGACACACGGUUUUAAUAACAGAUUCAACUCUAUUCGCGUUAUUUUCCUUUCAUCGAGGAUACAUUAAUAUCCGAUAUCGAGUCCUGGCAAUAGCAUCGUGUUUAAUAUUAAAAUAGACGACGGGACAAACGCGGCCGCUUCAAACAACAUUAUACGAGCAGAAUGAAUACGCGACCUUUCGUCGUGCGCUCGUUCGAUAAAAUGCACUGCGGUGUCGAUAAAGUGGCCGCGAAAUCGCGCAGCUAUUUACAAUAAAGUUUAAUGAACCGACUCGACGACAAUGACUAUCGACGUGUUUUCAAUUGCCAGGAGAAACGAAGCUGCACGGGCAAACGGCGUGACAGCUAUUGGAAAACAUUUCCAAGCUCGCGAAGAAACGCCGCGAGACUAAUAUCUAUCGUCGCGUGGCUGCUCACAUUCCUUUCCGUGUUCACGCUCCAAUGAGAAAGAAUUCAACGAGGUUCACGAAAUUCUAGAGGCGGAUCGAUGAUGAAAGACAGAGAGCCGGCCAACGUCGAUGCCGGGCAUUAAUAUUUCAUGAAGUUUGCCCGACUCAGACUUGCAACCUCCAUAAAUUUGCAAAUUCGAAAAUAGAAAACCGUCUUUUAUCUAUGGCUUUGAAUUCUCGAAACAGUAAAUCGCAGAGAAGCGGAAGACAGAUCUGGGCAGCGAGAAUUUGUACGGUUGACGAACGAUCGAGAAUGGAGCGAGCGUUUCUGAGAGGUCUGAGAGAUCUGAGACGUUGAAAAGUUACUCCGAGACUUGCCUUUAAAAGAAAUUUAACCCUUUCAGCGCUGCGUUGUCCGACUGUUCACUUUUUACGAACAACCACACCGUGAGCUAUGUAUUUUUUACGAAAGACAUUGUAGUCUGCUACAUAUUUUGGUUUUCGCUUUGGUUUGUCAGUUUGAUAAUUAGUUUUCUUUCGUUUCAACGAAAUCGUCAGAAUGUGAGGUGGAUAACAUCCGUACGUCCUUUUUAUCACACCACUUUUAGCCUAAAUUGAAUUCUUCUGUGAGAAUGCAUUAUCGCGUUCAUAGCGUUCAAAGGGUUAAAGGUACAAAAAUGCAUACAAUGCAGGUGACACGCAUAAUGUGUGCGAAGAAUCCAAAGUAGAGUACUCGUGAGUGAAAUCUCUAUUUAAGACUAGAACUACAAGCUAUUUGUACAAAACCAGUGAAAAUGACUGGUCUUUAAAAAAUACGUAAUAAUAGAAUAUUUGUAUAUUUAUUGAUUUAUUAUUUUCUCACAGAAGCAAUUCCAUGUUAUAUAGUACAUUUUUGCUAUUAUUAAUCCAUCUGCGACCAUGAUCGACCUAAACGAGGGUUGGCACAUUUAUAAAAUUGUAGAACAAGUCGUUUUGACUGCUGUGGCAUUUCUAGCGUCAGCAUUUAGCGAUCCAGCGAUCGAUCCGCAAUUUUCCUGAUAACUGAUGGUUCGAUGAACAAAUUGCAGGACCCUUCUAUCAUACACUUCGACAAGUACCAGUCAUUUUCACUGGUAUUGGUAUAAGUAGCCUCGAUACAAAAUUAUUUUCAGUUUGAAUGCGUAAAAAACAAAAUAAAAUUCGUUAUAUUAUUAUUUUAGUUACCGUUGCGAAAGUCAUUACGUCAUUGCGGAAAGAAAUAUAACACGAAGUAGGAAUUUGGAAAUAAAAUUGUAAAACCAGUCGAUUUGACCGGUGUGGUAUAGUUGAGCGCAUACUAAAAACACGUGAAUUCGCAUAAAUAUCCCAUAAGAGGCCUAUGUAAUUAUUAUCAUUGAUAAUCUUCUGAUUAAAUACGCGAUGAAAGAUAAAGAAUUUCGUAGGAAUUCGAAAACUGUUCUUUCUUUAUCUCCACGAAUCUCUGCGUUUCUGGCGUCGGCUACAAAAUACAUGUACUUGAUGAACGAUUGCUAAGGAACAAAUAUCAAUAAUUACGUUACGUGUGAUCGGAAAUUCUCUAAGCACUCGCAGUUUAAUUAUAAAUACUCGAGGAAAGUGUUUUUCGAAAAUAACGUUAUCCGUUCGCUGGCUUCGUAACACCAGACUGCAAUAUCAAUUUCAAUUUAAAGAGGACCGUGGUCGUGUUUCUGAGCGAUUUUUACAACGACGAACGAAAAUCCAUAAACUGGCGCGAAAAAAAGGUAGAAGACACGCAGCAAAUACGGAGAGAGCAGGCGGUUUGUUUGCGAAUGCAGAAGUACGCCAGCGUGCAAGUAUAUUCCCAAAACUUGUUAAGCUCUCUGCCUUCCUGGAGAAUCAUUAUUAAAAGGGCUGGAUGCGCGCAAGCAGAAGCUUAUUAUUCGCUUCGGCGUUGAAUAAAACAUGGAGGAAACGGGAGCGCGUGUGACGAGCGAUUUAAAAUAUUCAAUUGAAUGCACGCUAGAAGCGGCAGGCUCUUUCCCUGUGGAAGCUUCGUCGAUUUUGAUCCACGGCAAAGUAGUAAAUUACACGUGCGACACGAAAUUACCGGAAAAGGUAAGUGGCUUACAGGUAUACUUUAGUCAAUUUACAGUAACAGCACACGAAUGUUAGCAAACUGUAUAAAUUAAUGAGUGAACUAAUGACCAGAAGCGAUACAUAUCGUCUGCUUAUAGAAACAACACGUAAUAGAAUUUUAUUGUUGCAAUAGGCAGCAUCGCGACGAUGCCCGAGACGCAAGGGGCGUUCACAAUAGCGACACGAUACCGAAAUUUCGCCGAGAUCAUCGUACAAAAUUAAAUCAAAAGAGAGUCAUUUUUUCGUUUAAGGCUGAGCCUUUCGUCCAAGUUUCCACUAAUAUCAAGUAAUUAUUUCUUAAACUAGUGGCGGCGUUAAUUUCGAAGAAGCUUUCUUGUUUGAUGUGUAUUUUAAAGUCUGAGGACGAAUAACUUUUGCGCGAACGUUUCGUUGAAAAAUUUUGUCGAAUUAUUAUGCUACAAUCAGUCUCGUUGUAAAAGAUGAAAUUAUUGUAUUUUAUACUCGUCAAUAUUUGUUAAUCUGAAUGAGAUUAUUUUAUUUCGUAUCCAUUAAUUAUUUGAAACCAAUUUUACCACGUGAUAGUUAUAAGUUAAUAAUAGAAAAUGCACAGGU
Molecule: long non-coding RNA, 7157 nt
Organism: Bombus terrestris (buff-tailed bumblebee)
Lineage: Eukaryota; Metazoa; Arthropoda; Insecta; Hymenoptera; Apidae
Exons: 5
Source: RefSeq, a predicted model, not a curated record